RNAcentral lists this transfer RNA (71 nucleotides) under Camelus ferus (Wild Bactrian camel). It matches the Rfam family "tRNA". From Rfam's summary of the family: Transfer RNA (tRNA) molecules are approximately 80 nucleotides in length. Lineage: Eukaryota; Metazoa; Chordata; Mammalia; Artiodactyla; Camelidae. The record is from Rfam by way of RNAcentral.
GAGUAUAUAGCUCAGUGGUAGAGUGUGUGCUUCGCAUGCACAAAGUCCUGGGUUCAAUCCCAGUAUCUCCA